Molecule: ribosomal RNA, 524 nt
Filed under: uncultured bacterium
Lineage: Bacteria
Description: partial 16S ribosomal RNA
Rfam family: Bacterial small subunit ribosomal RNA
Source: RNAcentral
GACGAACGCUGGCGGCGUGCUUAACACAUGCAAGUCGAACGGACAGACAGAGAGCUUGCUCUCUUGAAGUUAGUGGCGAACGGGUGAGUAACGCGUAAUCAACCUGCCCUUCAGAGGGGGAUAACAACGGGAAACCGUUGCUAAUACCGCGUACGAUUCAUGAACGGCAUCGUUUACGAAUGAAAGGUGGCCUCUAUGUAUAAGCUAUCGCUGAAGGAGGGGAUUGCGUCUGAUUAGCUAGUUGGAGGGGUAACGGCCCACCAAGGCAAUGAUCAGUAGCCGGUCUGAGAGGAUGAACGGCCACAUUGGGACUGAGACACGGCCCAAACUCCUACGGGAGGCAGCAGUGGGGAAUCUUCCGCAAUGGACGGAAGUCUGACGGAGCAACGCCGCGUGAGCGAUGAAGGUCUUCGGAUUGUAAAGCUCUGUUAAUCGGGACGAAAGAGUUCUGCGUGAAUAAUGCAGAAAAGUGACGGUACCGGAAUAGAAAGCCACGGCUAACUACGUGCCAGCCGCCGCGGUAA